GUCCACGCCCUAAACGAUGCUAACUCGAUGUUUGGGACUAGAUCUUGAGCAUCCAAGGGAACCGAUAAGUUAGCCACCUGGGGAGUACGACCGCAAGGUUGAAACUCAAAGGAAUUGACGGGGUCCGCACAAGCGGUGGAGCAUGUGGUUUAAUUCGAUGAUACGCGAGGAACCUUACCUAGGCUAGAAUGUGAGUGACCGGCACUGAAAAGGUGCUUUUCCUUCGGGACACGAAACAAGGUGCUGCAUGGUUGUCGU
This 258-nucleotide ribosomal RNA is filed under the name uncultured bacterium. RNAcentral describes it as "partial 16S ribosomal RNA". It matches the Rfam family "Bacterial small subunit ribosomal RNA", at positions 793 to 1055 of the family's 1533-position model. The record is from RNAcentral.